RNAcentral lists this long non-coding RNA (236 nucleotides) under Homo sapiens (human). RNAcentral's name for it is "non-protein coding lnc-UNK-1:2". Lineage: Eukaryota; Metazoa; Chordata; Mammalia; Primates; Hominidae. The record is from RNAcentral.
GAUCUUGGGGACUCCGGCAGCGCGUUAAGGGAAGUCCUGCUGGUCGAAUGCGACCUGGACAUGGCGUGGGAGCGCCGAGCUGUCCCCUUGUGGAUGGGGAGCUUUCGUUCACUCAGCAGACGUUUAUGGGGCGCAUGCGUGACUCUGGGGCGUUUAGCUGAGCCGGAGGCCCCGGCUCUUGGGGACGCGGUGGGCUGGCGGCGUCGGAUCACCCCGCCAUCCAUCUCACCACUCCC